This 858-nucleotide ribosomal RNA is filed under the name uncultured bacterium. RNAcentral describes it as "bacterial SSU rRNA". It matches the Rfam family "Bacterial small subunit ribosomal RNA", at positions 525 to 1380 of the family's 1533-position model. The record is from RNAcentral.
UCGGAGGGGACAAGCGUUAUUCGGAAUCACUGGGCGUAAAGGACGCGUAGGCGGGACAGUAAGUCAGAUGUGAAAUCCUAUGGCUCAACCAUAGAACUGCAUUUGAAACUGCUGACCUAGAGUAUGGAAGGGGCAGGUGGAAUUAGUGGUGUAGGGGUAAAAUCCGUAGAUAUCACUAGGAAUACCGAAAGCGAAGGCGACCUGCUGGGACAUUACUGACGCUGAGGCGUGAAAGCGUGGGGAGCAAACAGGAUUAGAUACCCUGGUAGUCCACGCCCUAAACGAUGAAUGCUAGUCGUCGGGGCUCUAGUAGCUUCGGUGAUGCACUUAACAGAUUAAGCAUUCCGCCUGGGGAGUACGGUCGCAAGAUUAAAACUCAAAGGAAUAGACGGGGACCCGCACAAGUGGUGGAGCAUGUGGUUUAAUUCGAAGAUACGCGAAGAACCUUACCUAGCCUUGACAUUGAUUGAAUUCUGUAGAGAUACGGAAGUGCCUUUCGGGGAACAUGAAAACAGGUGCUGCACGGCUGUCGUCAGCUCGUGUCGUGAGAUGUUGGGUUAAGUCCCGCAACGAGCGCAACCCUCGUCGUUAGUUGCUAACAGGUUAAGCUGAGCACUCUAGCGAGACUGCCUUCGCAAGGAGGAGGAAGGUGAGGACGACGUCAAGUCAUCAUGGCCCUUAUGGCUAGGGCUACACACGUGCUACAAUGGGGCGUACAGAGAGUUGCGAUACCGCGAGGUGGAGCCAAUCUCAUAAAGCGUCUCUCAGUUCGGAUUGUUCUCUGCAACUCGAGAACAUGAAGCUGGAAUCACUAGUAAUCGUAGAUCAGCAAUGCUACGGUGAAUACGUUCCCGGGUC